GCCGGCAGCCAUAUCACCCUGCAGCUCUCAACUGGCUGCCGACUGAAGCUAAGCAGGGUUGAGCCUGGUCAGUACCUGGAUGGGAUAGACCUCCUGGGAAGCUAUGGUUGCUGCUGGAA
This is a ribosomal RNA of Lepisosteus oculatus (spotted gar), 119 nucleotides long. Lineage: Eukaryota; Metazoa; Chordata; Actinopteri; Semionotiformes; Lepisosteidae. The record is from Rfam.